This 237-nucleotide ribosomal RNA is filed under the name uncultured Lactobacillus sp. RNAcentral describes it as "partial 16S ribosomal RNA". It matches the Rfam family "Bacterial small subunit ribosomal RNA", at positions 125 to 355 of the family's 1533-position model. The record is from RNAcentral. Lineage: Bacteria; Bacillati; Bacillota; Bacilli; Lactobacillales; Lactobacillaceae.
CCUGCCCAAGAGAUCGGGAUAACACCUGGAAACAGAUGCUAAUACCGGAUAACAACAGAUGAUGCCUAUCAACUGUUUAAAAGAUGGUUCUGCUAUCACUCUUGGAUGGACCUGCGGUGCAUUAGCUAGUUGGUAGUGUAACGGCCUACCAAGGCGAUGAUGCAUAGCCGAGUUGAGAGACUGAUCGGCCACAUUGGGACUGAGACACGGCCCAAACUCCUACGGGAGGCAGCAGCC